UACGGAGGGUGCAAGCGUUAUCCGGAUUCACUGGGUUUAAAGGGUGCGUAGGCGGGCAGGUAAGUCAGUGGUGAAAUCCUAGAGCUUAACUCUAGAACUGCCAUUGAUACUAUCAAUCUUGAAUAUCGUGGAGGUAAGCGGAAUAUGUCAUGUAGCGGUGAAAUGCUUAGAUAUGACAUAGAACACCAAUUGCGUAGGCAGCUUACUACACGAUCAUUGACGCUGAGGCACGAAAGCGUGGGGAGCAAACAGG
This 253-nucleotide ribosomal RNA is filed under the name uncultured bacterium. Its description in RNAcentral is "partial 16S ribosomal RNA". It matches the Rfam family "Bacterial small subunit ribosomal RNA", at positions 524 to 776 of the family's 1533-position model. The record is from RNAcentral.